GGGGGCGACCUGGCUUCGACGUGGAUCGCAAAACCUGAGGGGCAUGUCGAGGUGCAGAGCCCUCGUUAAUCACCCUGCAAAAAUUAUAGUUGCCAACGACGACAACUUCGCACUCGCUGCUUAAUACCCAGUAGGGUGCCGUCUGGCUGGAGCCGUGCUUGUGCGUUCAGAGUUCAGGCGUCAUACUCACAAGAUCGCAGGAAGGUAGCCUAGGGCUAACCUGCUAAACCUUUACUAGGAUCGCUAGCUAUUUCCUUGCCCAUCGGGCUGUAGUCUAGUUAAAUUUAAAGAUUGGGAUAAGCAUGUAGAACCAAAGGCGGAGGAUUUACGGACGCGGGUUCAAUUCCCGCCGCCUCCACCA
This 361-nucleotide transfer-messenger RNA is filed under the name Candidatus Nitrosacidicoccus urinae. RNAcentral's name for it is "Candidatus Nitrosacidococcus sp. I8 transfer-messenger RNA, SsrA". It matches the Rfam family "transfer-messenger RNA". Rfam says of the family: Bacterial tmRNA, also known as 10Sa RNA or SsrA, is named for its dual tRNA and mRNA-like properties. Its role is to liberate the mRNA from a stalled ribosome. To accomplish this part of the tmRNA is used as a reading frame that ends in a translation stop signal. The record is from RNAcentral. Lineage: Bacteria; Pseudomonadati; Pseudomonadota; Gammaproteobacteria; Chromatiales; Chromatiaceae.